This 751-nucleotide ribosomal RNA is filed under the name uncultured archaeon. Its description in RNAcentral is "bacterial SSU rRNA". It matches the Rfam family "Archaeal small subunit ribosomal RNA", at positions 6 to 763 of the family's 1478-position model. The record is from RNAcentral.
GGUUGAUCCCGCCGGACCUGACUGCUAUCGGAUUGAUACUAAGCCAUGCGAGUCAUUGUAGUAAUGCAAGGCAUACGGCUCAGUAACGCGUAGUCAACCUACCCUAUGGACGGGAAUAACCUCGGGAAACUGAGUAUAAUGCCCGAUAGAACACUAUACCUGGAAUGGUUUGUGUUUCAAAUGAUUUAUUGCCGUAGGAUGGGACUGCGGCCUAUCAGUUUGUUGGUGAGGUAAUGGCCCACCAAGACUAUUACAGGUACGGGCUCUGAGAGGAGUGGCCCGGAGAUGGGUACUGAGACGCGGACCCAGGCCCUAUGGGGCGCAGCAGGCGAGAAAACUUUGCAAUGUGCGAAAGCACGACAAGGUUAAUCCGAGUGGUUUCUGCUAAAGGAACCUUUUGACAGUCCUAGAAACACUGUUGAAUAAGGGGUGGGCAAGUUCUGGUGUCAGCCGCCGCGGUAAAACCAGCACCUCAAGUGGUCAGGAUGAUUAUUGGGCCUAAAGCAUCCGUAGCCGGCUCAGUAAGUUUUCGGUUAAAUCUGUACGCUCAACGUACAGGCUGCCGGGAAUACCGCAGAGCUAGGGAGUGGGAGAGGUAGACGGUACUCGGGAGGAAGUGGUAAAAUGCUUUGAUCUUUCGAUGACCACCUGUGGCGAAGGCGGUCUACCAGAACACGUCCGACGGUGAGGGAUGAAAGCUGGGGGAGCAAACCGGAUUAGAUACCCGGGUAGUCCCAGCUGUAAACUAUGC